This 247-nucleotide long non-coding RNA is filed under the name Erythranthe guttata (spotted monkey flower). Its description in RNAcentral is "long non-coding RNA (EGUT_LNC002568)". Lineage: Eukaryota; Viridiplantae; Streptophyta; Magnoliopsida; Lamiales; Phrymaceae. The record is from RNAcentral.
CGGAGCGUCGGUGGCCAUGGGAGAUUGGAGAAAACGAUCAAUUCUUUAUCAGUGAAAGGGCUUAUGGCCAUAAAAAGGAAUUCAUAUGUAUAGAUUUGGUAUUGAAUAAACAGGGAGCAUGGUCGCGAAGGAGAAAGAUGGUGGAAGAUUCAAAGGCAAAAACUAGGGUUCUAGAAAUUUGGGGGUUUUUGCAAUUUGCAGUAACCGACUGUAAGAGAGAAACAAAGAGAGGGGCAGCCGGUGGGAG